AGGCUGGUCUCGAACUCCUGACCUUGUGAUCCGCCCGCCUGGGCCUCCCAAACUGCUGGGAUUACAGGCAUGAGCCACCGCGCCCAGCCUCCUCUGCCCCUUUUUAUAAAAAAUAAUUUUAAAAUUACUUUGCCAUGAAAGCUAACAGUAGAUUGUCCAUGUUAUUAGCUCUUUUCCAAAUAGAAUCUAGAUUGGAUGUAAGAAUUCCUUUUUUUUUUUUUAUUGCUAACCAGCUUCAGCUGAUCAAAUUCAAAUGCAACUAUUCUACCCGCUAUCAUUUCUUCAUGCUUGCUGUCAAUUAAGGCUUUGAUCGUGGCAGGUUGUCAUGCAGGUCGCUUGCCUUUAUUGCCAGAUUUUAGGGUGAUAUGAAUUCCUUGUGGCCCUAGACAUUUGACCUUUAAUAGGUCUGAAUUAAGAGAUGACUGGGCAGAGUGUGGAGUAAGGCUGCUGUUGUCUAGCCUACUGCAUAGCAGUAAUCUCCUUUUGCCAUCUGGUGGAGAUGACCUCAGUCUUUUCUUGGUUGAAUUCUGCAGGUUUAAAGCAAUGUUGUGGAUGUGUGAAGAGUUUCCCCUCUCUCUGGUGGAGCAGGUCAUUCCCAUCAUUGACCUAAUGGCUCGAACGAGUGCUCAUUUUGCAAGACUGAGAGAUUUCAUCAAAUUGGAAUUCCCACCUGGAUUUCCUGUCAAAAUAGAAAUUCCCUUGUUUCAUGUCUUAAAUGCACGGAUUACAUUUGGAAAUGUUAAUGGCUGUAGCACUGCUGAAGAAUCUGUAUCUCAAAAUGUGGAAGGGACCCAGGCUGAUUCAGCUUCCCACAUCACAAACUUUGAGGUUGAUCAAUCUGUGUUUGAAAUUCCCGAAUCUUACUAUGUUCAAGACAAUGGCAGAAAUGUGCAUUUGCAAGAUGAAGAUUAUGAGAUAAUGCAGUUUGCCAUCCAGCAAAGUCUGCUGGAGUCCAGCAGGAGCCAGGAACUUUCAGGACCAGCUUCGAAUGGAGGGAUCAGCCAGACGAACACCUAUGACGCCCAGUAUGAGAGG
This 1035-nucleotide small RNA is filed under the name Pongo abelii (Sumatran orangutan). RNAcentral describes it as "retained intron". Lineage: Eukaryota; Metazoa; Chordata; Mammalia; Primates; Hominidae. The record is from RNAcentral.